GACAGAGGGUGCAAACGUUGUUCGGAAUUACUGGGCGUAAAGCGCGUGUAGGCGGCGAUGUAAGUCGGGUGUGAAAUCCCUUGGCUUAACCAAGGAAGUGCACUCGAUACUGUGUCGCUUGAGUGCCGGAGGGGAUGGCGGAAUUCCCGGUGUAGAGGUGAAAUUCGUAGAUAUCGGGAGGAACACCUGUGGCGAAGGCGGCCAUCUGGACGGUGACUGACGCUGAGACGCGAAAGCGUGGGUAGCAAACAGG
This 253-nucleotide ribosomal RNA is filed under the name uncultured bacterium. Its description in RNAcentral is "partial 16S ribosomal RNA". It matches the Rfam family "Bacterial small subunit ribosomal RNA", at positions 524 to 776 of the family's 1533-position model. The record is from RNAcentral.